RNAcentral lists this ribosomal RNA (479 nucleotides) under uncultured bacterium. RNAcentral's name for it is "bacterial SSU rRNA". It matches the Rfam family "Bacterial small subunit ribosomal RNA", at positions 32 to 521 of the family's 1533-position model. The record is from RNAcentral.
AAUCAACGCUGGCGGCGUGCCUCAGACAUGCAAGUCGAACGAUUAAAGCUCUCUUCGGAGAGUGCAUAGAGUGGCGCACGGGUGAGCAACACGUAAGUAAUCUACCUUCGAGUGGGGAAUAACGUCCGGAAACGGACGCUAAUACCGCAUAAUGCAGCGGCAUCGCAAGAUGACAGUUGUUAAAGAUUUAUCGCUUGAAGAGGAGCUUGCGGCAGAUUAGCUAGUUGGUAAGGUAAUGGCUUACCAAGGCUACGAUCUGUAACCGGUCUAAGAGGACGGUCGGUCACACUGACACUGAAUAACGGGUCAGACUCCUACGGGAGGCAGCAGUCGGGAAUUUUGGGCAAUGGGCGAAAGCCUGACGCAGCGACGCCGCGUGAAGGAUGAAGUAUUUCGGUAUGUAAACUUCGAAAGAAUGGGAAGAAUCAAUGACGGUACCAUUUAUAAGGUCCGGCUAACUACGUGCCAGCAGCCGCAGU